Molecule: ribosomal RNA, 303 nt
Filed under: uncultured bacterium
Lineage: Bacteria
Description: partial 16S ribosomal RNA
Rfam family: Bacterial small subunit ribosomal RNA
Source: RNAcentral
AGCAGUCGCACGGGAAUACGUAGGGUGCAAGCGUUAAUCGGAAUUACUGGGCGUAAAGCGUGCGCAGGCGGUUAUAUAAGACAGAUGUGAAAUCCCCGGGCUCAACCUGGGAACUGCAUUUGUGACUGUAUAGCUAGAGUACGGCAGAGGGGGAUGGAAUUCCGCGUGUAGCAGUGAAAUGCGUAGAUAUGCGGAGGAACACCGAUGGCGAAGGCAAUCCCCUGGGCCUGUACUGACGCUCAUGCACGAAAGCGUGGGGAGCAAACAGGAUUAGAUACCCGCGUAGUCCCUGUCUCUUAUACA